UGGGGAAUUUUGGACAAUGGGCGCAAGCCUGAUCCAGCCAUGCCGCGUGAGUGAAGAAGGCCCUCGGGUUGUAAAGCUCUUUUGUCCGGAAAGAAAAGCUUCGGGUUAAUACCCCGGGGUUCUGACGGUACCGGAAGAAUAAGCACCGGCUAACUUCGUGCCAGCAGCCGCGGUAAUACGACGGGUGCAAGCGUUACUCGGAAUUACUGGGCGUAAAGCGUGCGUAGGUGGUUGUUUAAGUCUGAUGUGAAAGCCCUGGGCUCAAGCUGGGAAUGGCAUUGGAAACUGGGGAGCUAGAGUGCGGUAGAGGGUAGUGGAAUUCCCGGUGUAGCAGUGAAAUGCGUAGAGAUCGGGAGGAACAUCUGUGGCGAAGGCGACUGCCUGGACCAGCACUGACACUGAGGCACGAAAGCGUG
Molecule: ribosomal RNA, 416 nt
Filed under: uncultured bacterium
Lineage: Bacteria
Description: bacterial SSU rRNA
Rfam family: Bacterial small subunit ribosomal RNA
Source: RNAcentral